UACAGAGGGGGCAAGCGUUGUUCGGAAUUACUGGGCGUAAAGGGCGCGUAGGCGGCCCGCUAAGUCGAACGUGAAAUCCCCAGGCUCAACCUGGGAACUGCGUCCGAUACUGGCAGGCUUGAAUCCGGGAGAGGGAUGUGGAAUUCCUGGUGUAGCGGUGAAAUGCGCAGAUAUCAGGAGGAACACCAAUUGCGAAGGCAGCUCGCUGGGACGUUACUGACGCUGAGACGCGAAAGCGUGGGGAGCAAACAGG
Molecule: ribosomal RNA, 253 nt
Filed under: uncultured bacterium
Lineage: Bacteria
Description: partial 16S ribosomal RNA
Rfam family: Bacterial small subunit ribosomal RNA
Source: RNAcentral